This 547-nucleotide ribosomal RNA is filed under the name Trachinotus ovatus (derbio). RNAcentral describes it as "partial 16S ribosomal RNA". It matches the Rfam family "Bacterial large subunit ribosomal RNA", at positions 593 to 1347 of the family's 2925-position model. The record is from RNAcentral. Lineage: Eukaryota; Metazoa; Chordata; Actinopteri; Carangiformes; Carangidae.
CUAGACUCGUACCUUUUGCAUCAUGAUUUAGCUAGAAAACCUCAAGCAAAGAGCACUUUAGUUUGAUUCCCCGAAACUACGUGAGCUACUCCAAGACAGCCUAACAACUAGGGCAAACCCGUCUCUGUGGCAAAAGAGUGGGAAGAUCUUUGAGUAGAGGUGACAGACCUAUCGAACCUAGUUAUAGCUGGUUGCCUGGGAAAUGAAUAGAAGUUCAGCCUCUCGGAUUCUCCGCUCACUCCACCCACCCCCUCCGACAACUAAAAGAAACCGAAAGAGUUAGUCGAAGGGGGUACAGCCCCUUUGACACAAGAUACAACUUUCCCAGAAGGGUAAAGAUCAUAUCCAGCACCAAGGUAAAAUGUUUAGGUGGGCCCAAAAGCAGCCACCCCAUAGAAUGCGUUAAAGCUCAGACAUGACUACCACCCCCAAUCCUGACAAUCUUAUCUUAACCCCCUAACCCUACCAGGCCAUUCCAUGCAGACAUGGAAGUGACCAUGCUAAUAUGAGUAAUAAGAGAGUAUAAACCUCUCUCCUUGCACAAGUG